AACUGAUGCAUUUGACUUUAUUAUGACGUUAGUUAUCAAACGCAGUCCCCUUGCAAUCAACCGCUUACUAUGAUGGGGAGUAGGAUUGUAAUGCAAAAUCUUUCAUCUACACUGAGAAUGAUUGAUGUCACACAGGUGACAAUUUGUCAAGCAUAAAAUAAACAACAAAAAUGAACGCACUUUUUCCACCGUCCACCAAGGACACACCCACCAGAGUGGAGCUGUUUGGUAUGGGAACAGCCGAUCGCGACAGAUCUGAUCGGGUUUUUUUAUCGUUUUAUCGUGACACUUGCGGUAUAAAAUUGAUUGCCGAAUAUGCGUGAAAGCUAGUGAAAUCUAAUGAUCAUUCGUUUGCUGCUUUUUUGUUUGGCCUAUAUUGACCGUUGGCCACUCGUACUCUCAUCGACGAAGGUCACACAACAACACUCC
Molecule: long non-coding RNA, 429 nt
Organism: Anopheles funestus (African malaria mosquito)
Lineage: Eukaryota; Metazoa; Arthropoda; Insecta; Diptera; Culicidae
Exons: 2
Source: RefSeq, a predicted model, not a curated record